GUCUAGGCCAUGCCACCCUGAAUAACCUCGAUCUCGUCUGAUCUCAGAAGCUAAGCAGGGUUGGGCCUGGUUCAUAGUUGAAAGACCAGGUGCUGUAGGCA
This 101-nucleotide ribosomal RNA is filed under the name Pteropus alecto (black flying fox). Lineage: Eukaryota; Metazoa; Chordata; Mammalia; Chiroptera; Pteropodidae. The record is from RNAcentral.